GUGCCUUUUAGGCACUGAAUUUCAUAAAAAAGUUUGCUGGGAAGUUUUGGUUGCUGGUGCUGAGCAAGGUAUUGAGGCAGGACAAGUUGGGCUUCGAUUGAUUACUAAGGGUGAUAGGCAAACAACAGUUGCAAGGGAGUGGAGCAUCAGUGCGACAAGUAUUGCAGAUGGAAGGUGGCAUAUUGUGACGAUGACAGUUGAUGCUGAUUUAGGUGAGGC
RNAcentral lists this unclassified non-coding RNA (219 nucleotides) under Hevea brasiliensis (rubber tree). Lineage: Eukaryota; Viridiplantae; Streptophyta; Magnoliopsida; Malpighiales; Euphorbiaceae. The record is from RNAcentral.